Molecule: long non-coding RNA, 160 nt
Organism: Rhodamnia argentea
Lineage: Eukaryota; Viridiplantae; Streptophyta; Magnoliopsida; Myrtales; Myrtaceae
Exons: 3
Source: RefSeq, a predicted model, not a curated record
ACUUUUAUAUAAUAAAGUCACUGGAUGAGUUCCUUUACCGACCGAGAAAAUCAGUGAAGACGCGGCCGUCGGAGAAACGCCCGGCCGGCUUUCCGGGGAAGGUGACGCCGUAAGGCACCCUCCACGAGCUCGCCUCCGACUUCUUGUUGUUCCCCGUGUC